AAUCAACGCUGGCGGCGUGCCUGACACAUGCAAGUCGAACGCGAAAGUGGAGCAAUCCAUGAGUAGAGUGGCAAACGGGUGAGUAACACGUGGGUGACCUGCCUUAGAGUGGGGGAUAACGUCCCGAAAGGGACGCUAAUACCGCAUAACAUGCUGCCUUUUAAGAGGUGGACAUCAAAGCCGGGGACCGCAAGGCCUGGCGCUUAAAGAGGGGCCCGCGCCUGAUUAGCUAGUUGGUGGGGUAAUGGCUCACCAAGGCAACGAUCAGUAUCCGGCCUGAGAGGGCGGACGGACACACUGGGACUGAGACACGGCCCAGACUCCUACGGGAGGCAGCAGUGGGGAAUUGUUCGCAAUGGGCGCAAGCCUGACGACGCAACGCCGCGUGGAGGAUGAAGAUCUUCGGGUUGUAAACUCCUUUCGAUCGAGACGAAUGGCCCUUGGGCUAACAUCCUGAGGGAGUGACGGUACCGAGAGAAGAAGCCCCGGCUAACUCCGUGCCAGCAGCCG
Molecule: ribosomal RNA, 510 nt
Filed under: uncultured bacterium
Lineage: Bacteria
Description: bacterial SSU rRNA
Rfam family: Bacterial small subunit ribosomal RNA
Source: RNAcentral